Molecule: ribosomal RNA, 520 nt
Filed under: uncultured Glomus
Lineage: Eukaryota; Fungi; Glomeromycota; Glomeromycetes; Glomerales; Glomeraceae
Description: SSU rRNA
Rfam family: Eukaryotic small subunit ribosomal RNA
Source: RNAcentral
AGCAGCCGCGGUAAUUCCAGCUCCAAUAGCGUAUAUUAAAGUUGUUGCAGUUAAAAAGCUCGUAGUUGAAUUUCGAGACCGGCUUACUGGUCGUGCUAUUGUACGUACUGGUAUAAUCGGUUUCUCCUUUCUGACGAACUAUAAUGCCAUUAAUUUGGUGUUAUAGGGAAUCAGGACUGUUACUUUGAAAAAAUUAGAGUGUUUAAAGCAGGCUCACGCUUGAAUACAUUAGCAUGGAAUAACGGAAUAGGACGUUUGAUUCUAUUUUGUUGGUUUCUAGGAUCGACGUAAUGAUUAAUAGGGAUAGUUGGGGGCAUUAGUAUUCAAUUGUCAGAGGUGAAAUUCUUGGAUUUAUUGAAGACUAACUACUGCGAAAGCAUUUGCCAAGGAUGUUUUCAUUAAUCAAGGACGAAAGUUAGGGGAUCGAAGGACGAAUCAGGAUACCGUCGUAGUCUUAACCAUAAACUAUGCCGACUAGGGAUCGGAUGAUGUUAAUUUUUUAAUGACUCAUUCGGCGCCU